This 382-nucleotide ribosomal RNA is filed under the name Eleale parallela. RNAcentral describes it as "partial 12S ribosomal RNA". Lineage: Eukaryota; Metazoa; Arthropoda; Insecta; Coleoptera; Cleridae. The record is from RNAcentral.
UAAAAUUAAAAAAUUUGGCGGUAUUUUAGUCUUUUCAGUGGAACCUGUUCUAUAAUUGAUAAUCCACGAUUUAAUGUACUUAUUUUAAUAAAUUUAUAUAUCGUCGUAGUUUGAAUAUUUUAUAAGAAGUUUAAUAUUCAAGAUUUUUAUUAAAAAAUAAAUCAGAUCAAGGUGUAGUUAAUAAAUAAGAAGAAAUGGGUUACAAUUAAUAUAUUAAUAGAUAAAUUUAUUUAAAAAAAUUUUGAAAUUGGAUUUGAAAGUAAUUUUUUAUAAUUUUAAAAAAUGAUUUUAGCUCUAAAAUAUGUACAUAUUGCCCGUCACUUUUGUUUUAAGAUGAAAUAAGUCGUAACAAAGUAGAUUUACUGGAAAGUGAAUCUAGAAU